AAGCAGCGGUAUCAGCACAGAGUGCUGGACAGACCACAGAUUAGUCAGGACGUCUCUCCAACUUCACA
Molecule: long non-coding RNA, 68 nt
Organism: Gopherus evgoodei (Goodes thornscrub tortoise)
Lineage: Eukaryota; Metazoa; Chordata; Testudines; Testudinidae
Exons: 3
Source: RefSeq, a predicted model, not a curated record